AAAUUGAAGAGUUUGAUCAUGGCUCAGAUUGAACGCUGGCGGCAGGCCUAACACAUGCAAGUCGAACGGUAACAGAAAGCAGCUUGCUGCUUUGCUGACGAGUGGCGGACGGGUGAGUAAUGUCUGGGAAACUGCCUGAUGGAGGGGGAUAACUACUGGAAACGGUAGCUAAUACCGCAUAACGUCGCAAGA
Molecule: ribosomal RNA, 192 nt
Filed under: Escherichia coli
Lineage: Bacteria; Pseudomonadati; Pseudomonadota; Gammaproteobacteria; Enterobacterales; Enterobacteriaceae
Description: partial 16S ribosomal RNA
Rfam family: Bacterial small subunit ribosomal RNA
Source: RNAcentral